This 426-nucleotide ribosomal RNA is filed under the name uncultured bacterium. RNAcentral's name for it is "bacterial SSU rRNA". It matches the Rfam family "Bacterial small subunit ribosomal RNA", at positions 359 to 777 of the family's 1533-position model. The record is from RNAcentral.
GAAUAUUGGACAAUGGGGGCAACCCUGAUCCAGCCAUGCCGCGUGUGUGAAGAAGGCCUUCGGGUUGUAAAGCACUUUCAGUGGCGAAGAAAAGCUUGGGGCUAAUACCCUCGGGUCUUGACGUUCACCACAGAAGAAGCACCGGCUACCUCCGUGCCAGCAGCCGCGGUAAUACGGAGGGUGCGAACGUUAAUCGGAAUUACUGGGGGUAAAGCGCGCGUAGGCGGUCCGGCAAGUGGGAUGUGAAAGCCCUGGGCUUAACCUGGGAACUGCAUUCCAAACUAUCGGGCUAGAGUAUGGUAGAGGGAGGUGGAAUUUCCUGUGUAGCGGUGAAAUGCGUAGAUAUAGGAAGGAACACCAGUGGCGAAGGCGGCCUCCUGGACCAAUACUGACGCUGAGGUGCGAAAGCGUGGGGAGCAAACAGGA